This 1502-nucleotide long non-coding RNA is filed under the name Salmo salar (Atlantic salmon). Its description in RNAcentral is "lncRNA (ENSSSAG00000105335.1)". The record is from RNAcentral. Lineage: Eukaryota; Metazoa; Chordata; Actinopteri; Salmoniformes; Salmonidae.
UUAUGUAAAUAAGGUAUUUCUGUUUAUUUUUUAUACAUUUGCAAACAUUUCUAAAAACCUGUGUUAGCUUAGUCAUUGUGGGGAAAUUGUGUGUAGAUUUAUGAGGAAUAAAUUAAUGUAAUCCAUUUUAGUAUAAGGCCGUAAUAUAACAAAAUGUGGAAAAAGGGAAGGGGUCUGAAAACUGUAUGUAUUAUGUAUAAAUAUGUACUGUUCCAUUUGUACUUACAAACAUUUUGUAGUUUUUUUAAGGAACAAUGCAAUUUGUGGACAGACGGACACCCUGUCUGAAAAUAAACGUCAUUAUGAAUAAACAUCGAAGGUUGGUUUCCCGGACAUGGAACAAGUCUAGUCCUUGACUAAAAUGUACUUUUGAUAGAGAGUCUAUAUUCAGCAUUCAUUUUAGUCCAGGACUAGGCUAAAUCUGUGUGUGGGAAACUGGUCCAUACAGUAUUUACUGCUUAAGAUCGGCUGAGAGAGUAAGGGGACCAGACAGUGUGAAGGGGACUUGGCUUGGGACAGGAAGAGGACCAGGCAGUGAAGAGACUUGGCUUGGGACAGGAAGGGGAUCAGACAGUGUGAAGAGGACUUGGCUUGGGACAGGAAGAGGACCAGGCAGUGAAGAGACUUGGCUUGGGACAGGAAGGGGACGAGGCAGUGUGAGGGGACCAGACAGUGUGAAGGGACUUGGCUUGGGACAGGAAGAGGACCAGGCAGUGAAGAGACUUGGCUUGGGACAGGAAGGGGACCAGGCAGUGUGAGGGGACCAGACAGUGUGAAGGGACUUGGUUUGGGACAGGAAGGGGACCAGGAAGUGAAUAGACUUGGCUUGGGACAGGAAGGGGACCAUACAGUGUGAAGGGACUUAGUUUGGAACAGGAAGGGGACCAGGCAGUGAAGAGACUUGGCUUGGGACAGGAAGGGGACCAGGCAGUGUGAGGGGACCAGACAGUGUGAAGGGACUUAGUUUGGAACAGGAAGGGGACCAGGCAGUGAAUAGACUUGGCUUGGUACAGGAAGGGGACCAUACAGUGUGAAGGGACUUGGUUUGGGACAGGAAGGGAACCAGGCAGUGAAUAGACUUGGUUUGGGACAGGAAGGGGACCAUACAGUGUGAAGGGACUUGGUUUGGGACAGGAAGGGAACCAGGCAGUGAAUAGACUUGGCUUGGUACAGGAAGGGGACCAGACAGUGUGAAGGGACUUAGUUUGGAACAGGAAGGGGACCAGGCAGUGAAGAGACUUGGCUUGGGACAGGAAGGGGACCAGGCAGUGUGAGGGGACCAGACAGUGUGAAGGGACUUAGUUUGGAACAGGAAGGGGACCAGGCAGUGAAUAGACUUGGCUUGGUACAGGAAGGGGACCAUACAGUGUGAAGGGACUUGGUUUGGGACAGGAAGGGAACCAGGCAGUGAAUAGACUUGGCUUGGUACAGGAAGGGGACCAGACAGUGUGAAGGGACUUGGUUUGGGACAGGAAGGGAACCAGGCAGUGAAUAGACUUGGC